AUGAACGAGCCGCCGGGGCCGUGGCAGCUGCCGGUGAUCGGCAGCCUGCACCACCUCGUCGGGCAGCUCCCCCACCGCGCGAUGCGUGACCUAGCGCGGCGCUACGGGCCGGUCAUGCUCCUCCGGCUCGGCGAGGUGCCCACGCUGGUGGUGUCGUCCCGGGAGGGUGCUCGUGAGGUUAAGAAAAUCGCCGUCUUCGAGCUCUUGUCGGCGCGGCGCGUCACGUCCUUCCGCGCCAUCCGCGAGGAGGAGGUCGCCGCCGUGCUCCGCGAUGUCGCCGAGGCCGCGGCGGCCACGCGCUCCGUGGAGCUGCGCGCGUGCCUCUCCGCGCUCGGCAUCGACAUCACGGUCCGCGCCGUCAUGGGUGACCGGUUCAAGGAGCGCGAUGUGUUCCUCCACGCGCUCGACCGCUCCACGAAGCUCGUGGCGGGGUUCAACCCGCCGGACCUGUGGCCGUCGUCCCGGCUUGCCGGCUAUCUCAGCAGGGCCGUGCGCAGCGCCAAGAAGUGCCGUGACAUCGGGAACUGCAUCCUCGACGCCAUCAUCCACGAGCGGCUUGAGAGGGCGAUGGAAGGUGGCGGGGGCCAGAAGAACGAGGACUUGCUCGACGUGCUGCUAAGCAUGCACAAGGAGGCCAAGCUGGACAUGGACGCCGUCAAAUACGUCAUCUUCGACCUAUUCAGUGCCGGCAGUGAGACAACUACGCUAGAGUGGGCAUUCGCAGAGCUGAUGAGGAACCCAAAGGUGAUGCACAAGGCAACCACCGAGGUUCGGCGAGCCUUCAAGGCCCACGGCACCGUAGCGGAGCACCGCCUCGACGAGCUCCCGUACAUGCGCCUGGUCAUUCGGGAGGCGCUGCGGCUGCACAUGCCCACGCCGUUGCUCCUCCCGCGGGAGUGCCGGGAGCCAUGUCAGGUGCUCGGGUAUGACGUCCCCCAGGGCACGCAGGUGCUAGUCAACGUCUGGGCAUUGGGCCGUGACAAGCGAUACUGGCCUGACAGGCCGGAGGAGUUCCGGCCAGAGCGGUUCAAGGACGAGGAUGCUGUGGACUUUAAGGGUAACGACUUCUCUUUCCUGCCGUUCGGCGCAGGCCGGAGGAUGUGCCCUGGGAUAGCGUUCGGCCUUGCCAACAUUGGGCUCGCACUCGCGAGCCUGCUGUUCCACUUCGACUGGGAGGGUCCAAGUCCAGACGAAUUGGACAUGACUGAAGCGUUUGGCGUUACAGCGCGGCGGAAGGCCGGCCUCCUCCUGCGCCCUGUUCUCCGUGUGCCCGUUCCCUUCCCGGAGUCUACUCCACCGGCAGGCAACGGAGAUCGUUAG
This 1320-nucleotide ribosomal RNA is filed under the name Triticum aestivum (bread wheat). RNAcentral's name for it is "partial small subunit ribosomal RNA". Lineage: Eukaryota; Viridiplantae; Streptophyta; Magnoliopsida; Poales; Poaceae. The record is from RNAcentral.